UAACAUGGGUAAUAAACCACUUACUAAANAUCAGUGGGUUAGGGAAUAGGAGAAGAAAUAAGUUCUGGUAAAUCAUCAAAACAACAAAACAAUGUUUGCAAUAUUUCACUAAUAUUUUUUUAAAAGUAUAUGUGACAUGGAAUAUCUAUGGAAAAAUAUAACAUAUAUGUAAAAAUUUUUAAAAGCUGUUGGGUGAAAAUAUAAGUGGCAUUUUUUAGCUUGAUCAUGUUGCUUUAUGUUUUUAUGGUGAGGGAAAAAAAAAAGAAUGAAUUACCCCAAACUAAAGAUCAAAUGAGUGGCAAAAAGUGCCAAAUUUCAGGUCACUUUCUUACGCUCUGAUGUAAUCAGAGUGAGAUACACUUUGUCUGUUUAGUGUGAAUUGACAAAAUCACAUUUGUUAACAUGGGUAAUAAACCACUUACUAAAAUUGUUAGGUUAAACUGGAACAAAGUGGGCAUAAAACAUCCUGAGUAAUUUUCAAAUGAUGGGGUGAGAAACAGGGAAAACAAUUCUCUAUUUUUGAAAUAUCUUAGACUAGGAGUUGUCUCAUUCUCUCUCGAGAUUCUCUGGCUAUGUAACAUUUAUGUGCAUCUUUGUUUUGCCAAUUAUAUGAAAGUCGUUUAUAUAUAUAUAUAUAUAUAUAUAACUGAUAUUGUUGCUUCAUAUAAUGGGAGGUGGCUAUACUAGUGGAAGAAGGAAAUAGGAAUUUUGACACUUGAAAUUCUUAUGGAGAGGAAUAAAUUAGUGAUUUGGAAGAUAGAAUAAUGGAAAUCACCCAAUCAGGACAGCAGACAGAAAAACAAAUGAAAAAACAUGAAAGCAAUAUAAGAGAUCUAUAGGAUAAUAUAAGCAAGCCAAUCUAUGCAUAAUAGGAAUUUCAGAAGCAGAAGAAGAAGAAAAGGGGAUUGAAAAUAUAUUUGAAGAAAUUAUCUUAAAACUUUUCAAAUCUAAAGGAAACUUAUAUCAAGAUACAGGAAGCACANUGAGGUAAGAAUAAAUAGGAUGGAGGAAACCACAGCUGGAAAGCAAUGACUUAAAUAAG
Molecule: long non-coding RNA, 1042 nt
Filed under: Sus scrofa (pig)
Lineage: Eukaryota; Metazoa; Chordata; Mammalia; Artiodactyla; Suidae
Description: lncRNA (ENSSSCG00045029099.1)
Source: RNAcentral